AGAGAGAGAGAAGGGGAGAGAGAAUGACAAGUCUUAAUAUUGAAUGCACAGCUUCAAUUCCAAAGCAAACCUAUGUGUCCAUCUCUUCCCUCACCAAUGUGUGUGUGUGUUCUCUGUUUGUGGUGUGUGAAGCAUUUUCUACAUAGGCGUGUUGAUACAUCAGCCCUAAGUUGACAGUAUCAACAGCGAACAAUAUUAAAAACAAGAUUAUGGUUCAAGGUGGGAAAUAGUGAAGCAGGCCUAGAUAAGUGAAACAGCUAGAACGAUGGUGGAGGAUGUUGUUGGUGCGUCUGCAUGGAGGAUGUUGUUGGUGCAUCUGCAUGGAGGAUGUUGUUGGUGCAUCUGCAUGGAGAAUAAUGUUGUUGGUGCGUCUGCAUGGAGGAUGUUGUUGGUGCGUCUGCAUGGAGAAUGUUGUUGUUGGUGCGUCUGCAUGGAGAAUGUUGUUGUUGGUGCGUCUGCAUGGAGAAUGUUGUUGUUGGUGCGUCUGCAUGGAGAAUGUUGUUGUUGGUGCGUCUGCAUGGAGAAUGUUGUUGUUGGUGCGUCUGCAUGGAGAAUGUUGUUGUUGGUGCGUCUGCAUGGAGAAUGUUGUUGUUGGUGCGUCUGCAUGGAGAAUGUUGUUGUUGGUGCGUCUGCAUGGAGAAUGUUGUUGUUGGUGCGUCUGCAUGGAGAAUGUUGUUGUUGGUGCGUCUGCAUGGAGGAUGUUGUUGUUGGUGCGUCUGCAUGGAGAAUGUUGUUGUUGGUGCGUCUGCAUGGAGAAUGUUGUUGUUGGUGCGUCUGCAUGGAGGAUGAUGUUGUUGGUGCGUCUGCAUGGAGGAUGUUGUUGGUGCGUCUGCAUGGAGGAUGUUGUUGGUGCGUCUGCAUGGAGGAUGUUGUUGGUGCGUCUGCAUGGAGGAUGUUGUUGGUGCGUCUGCAUGGAGGAUGUUGUUGGUGCGUCUGCAUGGAGGAUGUUGUUGGUGCGUCUGCAUGGAGGAUGUUGUUGGUGCGUCUGCAUGGAGGAUGUUGUUGGUGCAUCUGUAUGGAGGAAGACUCAUGGGGAGAAGUGUCUGAAAGAUUAGGUUCUUUUAUACCCAGAAAUGAGGGUGUGUUUUUGCUUGCUGUAUUGAUUUGUGCA
Molecule: long non-coding RNA, 1111 nt
Organism: Oncorhynchus keta (chum salmon)
Lineage: Eukaryota; Metazoa; Chordata; Actinopteri; Salmoniformes; Salmonidae
Exons: 3
Source: RefSeq, a predicted model, not a curated record